Molecule: long non-coding RNA, 534 nt
Organism: Gasterosteus aculeatus aculeatus (three-spined stickleback)
Lineage: Eukaryota; Metazoa; Chordata; Actinopteri; Perciformes; Gasterosteidae
Source: Ensembl
CGCGCUAAACGGGAAUACGGUUGCUCCUCGGCCAUAUCUCGGCUCGUCCCUUUUGCUGUUAAACAUGUUCCCGUAACGUGGAACAGAGCCCAACGUGAUCGUCCGGGCUGAAGGAGGAUUUGUUCUGCUCAUGACACGAGCUGAAUGCAAAUGACCCUCCGCGCUGCGCUCCUUCAUUUGGGAUUCAGAAGCAGCUGUGACGACCUCAUCAGUGAGAUGGAGCUGACUCCCGAGACGGAGAUGAGACAAAACCACAGACCUCCAAACGAGCAGCUGGAUUCUGGGAUUCCCAGCGGCGCCCUUCCGCCACCAUCAGCGUCUUUCAGCCAGAAGCCAGAGGCCAAAGAAUCGCCCCACUCCUGCGUCUGCAAACACUGCACUUGGGAGCAUUGAAAAGAGCUGACUGCCCUCAAACACAUGCGGUGCACUUUCCAGGAAAACACACAAAGAACUCUGUAACGUGAAACGAAAGCUGACAGCGGCGAUCUCAAAACGCAACGUGACGUUGUGUCGGCCAGUACACCGGUUUUCCCC